This 75-nucleotide transfer RNA is filed under the name Flavobacteriales bacterium. Its description in RNAcentral is "tRNA-Arg". It matches the Rfam family "tRNA". From Rfam's summary of the family: Transfer RNA (tRNA) molecules are approximately 80 nucleotides in length. Their secondary structure includes four short double-helical elements and three loops (D, anti-codon, and T loops). The record is from RNAcentral. Lineage: Bacteria; Pseudomonadati; Bacteroidota; Flavobacteriia; Flavobacteriales.
AGCUCUGUAGUUCAAGGGAUAGAACAAAAGUUUCCUAAACUUUAGAUACAGGUUCGAUUCCUGUCAGAGCUACAA